GGUGAUGUGGCUCAGUGGUAGAGUGCUUGCCUUGCAUGUGCAAGGGCCAGGGUUCAAUCCCCUAACACUG
RNAcentral lists this transfer RNA (70 nucleotides) under Marmota monax (woodchuck). It matches the Rfam family "tRNA". Rfam says of the family: Transfer RNA (tRNA) molecules are approximately 80 nucleotides in length. Their secondary structure includes four short double-helical elements and three loops (D, anti-codon, and T loops). The record is from Rfam by way of RNAcentral. Lineage: Eukaryota; Metazoa; Chordata; Mammalia; Rodentia; Sciuridae.